This 535-nucleotide ribosomal RNA is filed under the name Halomonas sp. Its description in RNAcentral is "bacterial SSU rRNA". It matches the Rfam family "Bacterial small subunit ribosomal RNA", at positions 378 to 905 of the family's 1533-position model. The record is from RNAcentral. Lineage: Bacteria; Pseudomonadati; Pseudomonadota; Gammaproteobacteria; Oceanospirillales; Halomonadaceae.
GCACCCUGAUCCAGCCAUGCCGCGUGUGUGAAGAAGGCCCUCGGGUUGUAAAGCACUUUCAGCGAGGAAGAACGCCUGGCGGUUAAUACCCGCCAGGAAAGACAUCACUCGCAGAAGAAGCACCGGCUAACUCCGUGCCAGCAGCCGCGGUAAUACGGAGGGUGCAAGCGUUAAUCGGAAUUACUGGGCGUAAAGCGCGCGUAGGUGGCUUGAUAAGCCGGUUGUGAAAGCCCCGGGCUCAACCUGGGAACGGCAUCCGGAACUGUCAGGCUAGAGUGCAGGAGAGGAAGGUAGAAUUCCCGGUGUAGCGGUGAAAUGCGUAGAGAUCGGGAGGAAUACCAGUGGCGAAGGCGGCCUUCUGGACUGACACUGACACUGAGGUGCGAAAGCGUGGGUAGCAAACAGGAUUAGAUACCCUGGUAGUCCACGCCGUAAACGAUGUCGACCAGCCGUUGGGUGCCUAGCGCACUUUGUGGCGAAGUUAACGCGAUAAGUCGACCGCCUGGGGAGUACGGCCGCAAGGUUAAAACUCAAA